AAAACGCUGCACGAGGCCCGGAGUUCAGAGCACAAGAAAUGCAUCUGUGAUUUUCUUGUUUCUCUGUUACAGAUGCCAGACUAUGACUGACUGACUGAUGAAACCAACCUUGACAUCUCAAGAACUUGUGGGUGGUUGCCAGCAAAGAGGGACUUCUGUGUUUAAACCUAUUCUUCAGCACAGGACAGAAGAGAUGUUUUUAAGUCAAACAUCAUCAUGUGUGAGUGAAAUGUGUUAUAUAUCCAGAUGCAUAACGUCUGAUCAUCACCCAGCGUCUCAUGUACUUGCGGUGUGUGUGUGUGUGUUUGGCUGGGAAAGGAAAUGAUAACAGCAUGCUCCUAAAUGAGCUUCAUCCUCUUAAUUAACUAGUUCUGCUGUUAAACGAGCUUAAUCAGAUUAAUUAGGGCUGUGUAAGCACACCUGUGCAGAGAAGCAUGGCUCCCACAGUCCCUUCUCAUUACACUGGAGUCAGACGGGUCACGUGCAGCUCGGUGUUAUGAGGGGUGUUUAGGGGGUUUUAGGGGUGUUCUGGGUGUUUUGGGUGUUGCUGUGUAGUUAAUAGGUUGUUCUGCUUUUUUGCAGUUGUUGUCAUGUUUUUAAUGCAUUAUGUUAAAAUCCUAAAUCAAAUUAUGCUUGCAUUUAAAGGUCAAAAGACAACGGAGUAGAUACAUUUUAUCAGUUCUUGUUGUUCUUUGAAGUUUCAUAAAGCUAAUCAUAUGUUUUGAGUUCAAUUCUGAUAUCUCCACCAGUUUCACCACGAUGCUUUCCAUCAGCAUUUAAAUUCAGGUAUCGCCUCAGUUCUGUUACGUUACACAAAGUCAAAGCUUUAAAGUGCUGCCAAAUCAUCAAGCACUCUUGAACCGCAUCGAUUGAGCAGCCACGAGACGACAGGUUAAAAAUCCUGCGGUAAUCAGGACAAACGAUUGCUUGUGGAGGAAAGAGGAUAUCGAUAGCACGGACUGGACAGGGCCAAGGUCACUCACAAACCAUUUCAGCACUUCUGCUCAGGAGGGACUUAAAUGUGAUAUUGGUAAAUUAGGGGCUGAUGAGCACAGGAGAGAUGGAGAGAUGGACUAAAGGUUGUCAUUUAACAAGACUCUGCCAUUUACUAUUGAUUCUUCAGACAGCAGAGAGACGUAUCCUCCGAGUCUCGACCUCAGACCACAUGGAUCCAAAGAUUUACACUGAACGCCUCUGCUGUUAUUAUCAUUCUUCUCAUUUACUCGUGUUUUUUAGCAGAUGAUGCUUUUUUUUCACUAUGUCCUGAAAUACAAAGCAUUUUGAGCUUUGUUUUGCUACACAUAUUUAUUAAGAUUUAUACUUGUCAUUAGUUUUAACAUUUUAUUUUGUUGAAUUUUAUUGUAUUCUUUGUUAUUUCACUUAAUUAUCUUUUUUUUCUGCACCCCCCCCCCCCCAUUUUUUGCUUUUAUUUUGCCGAUUUAGCUUUUUAGUUUUAUUGGCUUUUAUUUUGUUUCAAAAAUUAUAUCCUGAAAUUUGCAUCAAUGUUUUUGCUAUGUUUGGCCUCACAUAUUUACAAAGUAUUUAUUUUUAUUUAUUUUUUUCUUAAUUUUUUAAUUCGUAAUUAUAAUUUCAUCUUAUUCACGCUAUUUAUUUUUGCAGAUUUUUUUUUAUUUUUUUAAGAUCUUAAUUUUUUUAUUUUUUUUUAUUAAAUAUUUAUCUACAAUUUUUAAUCUAUAUAUAUAUAUUUUUCUGUCCCUAAAUGUCACAUUAAAACGAAAGAAAUUCUGGUUGAUAAUUUCUCAUGAGAGAAUUGGGCGACUGGGCAGAAUAAGCUGCAAAUUGGACCAGAUUUCGUCAAUAAUCAGACGUCUGGCUCUGUGAGACCAGCAUCAGAAGCCACGAGAUGCUUCACUUCUUCAGAACGGAUGGCCUUUACUUUCACAUGAAAUCCAAUAACGCCUUUCUUAAUGGUGAGGUGACUGCUAUGAGGUUAACUGGUGUACAAUCCUGCUGAAGCAGACUCCGAAAUCAUGAAACAUUUGCCUUGAUCUGUCCUAUAUCUGAUCCUAGCUCUCCAAACUUUAACCUGACAUUUCUGUCUGUCGGUCUGUUGUGUCGAGUGCUUUUCGUCUCGUGUGUUUGUUAUCGUAGAAGCACAAGGUCACAUCCUGACAGCCCAAAUACUGUCAUUUAUUCUCCUAGCUGAAGUGGAUAUCAGACUCGUGAUGAUCUUUCUUUCUGCUGGCACAACAACUAUAGAGUAAUUAUAAAGUGGUUUUUAUCUGAAGACAGC
Molecule: long non-coding RNA, 2254 nt
Organism: Carassius auratus (goldfish)
Lineage: Eukaryota; Metazoa; Chordata; Actinopteri; Cypriniformes; Cyprinidae
Source: Ensembl